This 445-nucleotide ribosomal RNA is filed under the name uncultured bacterium. Its description in RNAcentral is "partial 16S ribosomal RNA". It matches the Rfam family "Bacterial small subunit ribosomal RNA", at positions 331 to 793 of the family's 1533-position model. The record is from RNAcentral.
CCAGACUCCUACGGGAGGCAGCAGUGGGGAAUAUUGGGCAAUGGGGGAAACCCUGACCCAGCGACGCCGCGUGAGGGAAGAAGGUUUUCGGAUUGUAAACCUCUGUCCUUGGUGACGAUAAUGACGGUAGCCAAGGAGGAAGCCACGGCUAACUACGUGCCAGCAGCCGCGGUAAUACGUAGGUGGCGAGCGUUUUCCGGAAUUACUGGGUGUAAAGGGAGCGCAGACGGCAGUGCAAGUCUGGAGUGAAAGCCCGUGGCUUAACUACGGGACUGCUCUGGAAACUGUGCAGCUAGAGUGCAGGAGAGGCAGGCGGAAUUCCUAGUGUAGCGGUGAAAUGCGUAGAUAUUAGGAGGAACACCGGUGGCGAAGGCGGCCUGCUGGACUGUAACUGACGUUGAGGCUCGAAAGCGUGGGGAGCAAACAGGAUUAGAUACCCCUGUAG